UGUGUUCCAUCGGAACUCUGAAAUUGAUUGAGUUCGUGCGAGAGCAAUCCCAUGAUGGGUGACCCACUGGGAAGCUCUCGUGUGAGUUCCCUGAAACAAAAUGGUGAGGGCAUGGUCGGGGCCUAAAGCGAACAAUAUUGUGCUACGGUGGAGUCGAGUUCGGGAUGUGGUGGGAGCAUGGGCCGGGAUGUGACAUGUAAUGCUUAUUUCUUCUAGAAACUUAUGUUGCUCUUCGCCAUGGCGUAUUGCCCAAACUUCUUACAAAACGAAGUUGAAAUAGGCUUAUGAAAGACUUUUGAUUGACUCUUAUUGGCCAUUUGGUGCAGGUUGUUAUGGACAUUCUACACUUUGUAAAAAGUGUGUUCAUUUUGCACCGCAAAAAGGGAAGCAAGCAAAAUAAUAUGUACAAUGCUUUAUGGAACUCCACUCCAAAGAAAUUAUUUAUAUAUAUAAGAGGUACAAUUCCAGUCAUAAAAAUUAUUAUACCUUCGUAUCUUCUUUUUUUCCAUCAUUUUUUCUUUGGUCUGAAUAACCAAAACUAGAAUAUUGGUUGAAUGAUUUGAAACUUAUCAUUGACGCAACUACAACUCAUUAACAUUAUAUUCGGGCUUAUUAGGCAUAAGUAUUGUACCAUAUACAGUAGGGUGCGAUAUAAUACUAAUUUGUGCUAAAAUGUGUUUACCAAGAAACGUGUGCUCAUUUACUUAAUCUAUUGGACUUCAACAAUUCUUCACUUCUUAACAAAUUCAUCUCUUACUCCACAUUUUCAUUUUCAUAUAGUAGGAAUAAUGAUGACGAGAAAUACGUUUGUCCAUUUGUUGCAGAACAAUUAAGGCUAGUCGCGCUCUUUUUCCUGCUUGUCAUCUCAUUUUCACGCAACGAUAGCCACUAACACGACAUGAAAGUUCAGUUCACGGCUUUCGCAACUCUAUUGUAACAAAAUAGUUGGUGUAUAAUUUGAAACAAGUAAUUUUUAUGUGAAAUAAUAAAUAGCUAUUUGAUUGUUGAGAUUAAUUAAACAAUUUACGUUUGUCCAUUUGUUGCAGAACAAUUAAGGCUAGUCGCGCUCUUUUUCCUGCUUGUCAUCUCAUUUUCACGCAACGAUAGCCACUAACACGACAUGAAAGUUCAGUUCACGGUUUUCGCAACUCUAUUGUAACAAACUAGUCAGUGUAUUAAUUUGAAACAAGUAAUUUUUAUGUGAAAUAAUAAAUAGCUUUUUGAUUGUUGAGAUUAAUUAAACAAUUUAUGGGAACUUGUAAGUUGCGUUUAUGGUACCAAAAUAAAUAUCAAAUGAGAAACUCUCGUAUUUGAUACCUCACAUUAGUAAAUACGUUGCUAAAGUAGUUUUAAAGGAACAUGCGUUUUUCAUUUUACGAAUGACUCGCACCUUUGCCUCAUCCCUUAUAAGUGUACAACUCCUUGCGUCAAAGUUCAACUGCAUCUAAGGGAUCAUUUUCUAAGAAAAUCAAAAGUUACUCAUUCUUUCCACCAUUAUGGCCAGACUAAACAUGUUUCCAAUUAUGGUCAGUUUACUUUUGGCGAAUUGCGCACUUCCAACGUUGGCGCAUUUGGAUGAUUCGCCUGCCGUGGUUGAGUGCAAAAAGCAUUUCAGCAUAAAGUAUGCAUUCGACGUGUACAACUAUGUUUUCAAAGGGAAGGAAAUUGGUGACUUUAGUUGCCGGGCCCUUGUGGCGUUGGGAAAAUCGUGCCAUAAUGUUUUCGUGAACAGCACCUUUACAUAUGAGCACACCGGAAAUAGAACUGCCAUUCAAGCUAGAGCUGACCGAGUAUUUAAUCAUUGUAUAAUUGUAACGUUCGUCCCACCUCAUUCUUCGUUAUCUUAAGCAGAGAAUUGAACUUCUAUAGGGCUAAAAAAUUUGGGGGAUAUUUCCUACGUCAGAAUAAAAUUUCGAUGUAUUUGCUUUGAUGCCUUGUUACGACUUCACUUUAUCGCUUUGAGUUGUAAAGCAUUAUCUAAAUGAUAGUGGAAUGAACAAUAGUAAUAAAACAACUACCACGCCAACUUAAAAAACUUCGCGAAACAUUGUAAAUAAUAGAGAUUAGUUUUACAUUUGUUCGGCCUUUACCCAUGCAUUACGUUCGGUUAUUGUAGCUACACUGCAUAUUGAUGUGUAAUGUAACAUCCCACAUCGCCCAAGGGAGUGGAUCCUGUAAGCCUUAUAUGCAUAUUUCAAUCUCUACCUUGCACGAGACCUUUUGGGAGCUCACUGGCUUUGUGUUCCAUCGGAACUCUGAAAUUGAUUGAGUUCGUGCGAGAGCAAUCCCAUGAUGGGUGACCCACUGGGAAGCUCUCGUGUGACUUCCCUGAAACAAAAUGGUGAGGGCAUGGUCGGGGCCCAAAGCGAACAAUAUUGUGCUACGGUGGAGUCGAGUUCGGGAUGUGGUGGGAGCAUGGGCCGGGAUGUGACAUGUAAUGCUUAUUUCUUCUAGAAACUUAUGUUGCUCUUCGCCAUGGUGUAUUGCCCAAACUUCUUACAAAACGAAGUUGAAAUAGGCUUAUGAAAGAGUUUUGAUUGACUCUUAUUGGCCAUUUGGUGCAGGUUGUUAUGGACAUUCUACACUUUGUAAAAAGUGUGUUCAUUUUGCCCCGCAAAAAGGGAAGCAAGCAAAAUAAUAUGUACAAUGCUUUAUGGAACUCCACUCCAAAGAAAUUAUUUAUAUAUAUAAGAGGUACAAUUCCAGUCAUAAAAAUUAUUAUACCUUCGUAUCUUCUUUUUUUCCAUCAUUUUUUCUUUGGUCUGAAUAACCAAAACUAGAAUAUUGGUUGAAUGAUUUGAAACUUAUCAUUGACGCAACUACAACUCAUUAACAUUAUAUUCGGGCUUAUUAGGCAUAAGUAUUGUACCAUAUACAGUAGGGUGCGAUAUAAUACUAAUUUGUGCUAAAAUGUGUUUACCAAGAAACGUGUGCUCAUUUACUUAAUCUAUUGGACUUCAACAAUUCUUCACUUCUUAACAAAUUCAUCUCUUACUCCACAUUUUCAUUUUCAUAUAGUAGGAAUAAUGAUGACGAGAAAUACGUUUGUCCAUUUGUUGCAGAACAAUUAAGGCUAGUCGCGCUCUUUUUCCUGCUUGUCAUUUCAUUUUCACGCAAUGAUAGCCACUAACACGACAUGAAAGUUCAGUUCACGGUUUUCGCAACUCUAUUGUAACAAACUAGUUAGUGUAUUAAUUUGAAACAAGUAAUUUUUGUGUGAAAUCAUAAAUAGCUAUUUGAUUGUUGAGAUUAAUUAAACAAUUUAUGGGAACUUGUAAGUUGCGUUUAUGGUACCAAAAUAAAUAUCAAAUUAGAAACUCUCGUAUUUGAUACCUCACAUCAGUAAAUACGUUGCUAAAGUUGUUUUAAAGGAAAAUGCGUUUUUCAUUUUACGAAUGACUUGCACCUUUGCCUCGUCCCUUAUAAGUGUACAACUCCUUGCGUCAAAGUUCAACUGCAUCUAAGGGAUCAUUUUCUAAGAAAAUCAAAAGUUACUCAUUCUUUCCACCAUUAUGGCCAGACUAAACAUGUUUCCAAUUAUGGUCACUUUGCUUUUGGCGAAUUGCGCACUUCUAACAUUGGCGCAUUUGGAUGAUUCACCGGCCGUGGUUGAGUGCAAAAAGCAUUUCAGCAUAAAGUAUGCAUUCGACGUGUACAACUAUGUUUUCAAAGGGAAGAAAAUUGGUGACUUUAGUUGCCGGGCCCUUGUGGCUUUGGGAAGACCGUGCCAUAAUGUUUUCGUGAACAGCACUUUUACUUACGAGCACAACGGAAGUAGAACAGCCAUUCAAGCUAGAGCUGACCGAGUAUUUAAUCAUUGUAUAAUUGUAACAUCCGUCCCACCUCAUUCUUCGCUAUCUGAAGCAGCGAAUUGAACUUCUAUAGGGCUAAGAAAUUUGUGGGAUAUUUCCUACAUCAGAAUAAAAUUUCGAUGUAUUUGCUUUGAUGCCUUGUUACAACUUCACUUUAUUGCUUUGAGUUGUAAACCAUUAUCUAAAUGAUAGAGGAAUGAACAAUAGUAAUAAAACAACUACCAAGCCAACUUAAAAAACUUUGCGAAACAUUGUAAGUAAUAGAGAUUAGUUUUACAUUUGUUCGGCCUUUACCCGUGCAUUACGUUCGGUUACUGCAGCUACACUGCAUAUUGAUGUGUAAUGUAACAUCCCACAUCGCCCAAGGGAGUGGUUCCUGUAAGUCGUAUAUGCAUAUUCCCAUCGCUACCUAGCACGAGGCCGGGUUCCAUCAGAACUCCGAAGUUAAGUGAGUUCGUGCGAGAGCAAUCUUAUGAUGGGUGACCCACUGGAAAGUUCUCGUGUGAGUUCCCAGAAACAAAACUGUGAGGGCGUGGUCGGGGCCGAAAGCAUACAAUAUCGUGCUACGGUCGGGUCGAGUUCGGGAUGUGGUGGGAACCUGGGUCGAGAUGUGACAUGUAAUGCUUAUUUUUCUAGAAACUUAUGUUCCUCUUUGCCAUGGCGUAUUGCCCAAACUUCUUACAAAAUGACGUUGAAAUAGGCUUAUGAAAGACUUUUGAUUGACUCUUAUUGGCCCUUUGGUGUAGGUUGUUAUGGACAUUCUACACUUUGUAAAAAGUGUGUUCAUUUUGCACCGCAAAAAGGGAAGCAAGCAAAAUAAUAUGUACAAUGCUUUAUGGAACUCCACUCCAAAGAAAUUAUUUAUAUAUAUAAGUGGUACAAUUCCUGUCAUAAAAAUUAUUAUACCUCCGUAUCUUCUUUUUUUUUCCAUUGGCGCAUUGCGCACUUCUAACAUUGGCGCAUUUGGAUGAUUCACCGGCCGUGGUUGAGUGCAAAAAGCAUUUCAGCAUAAAGUAUGCAUUCAACGUGUACAACUAUGUUUUCAAAGGGAAAAAAAUUGGUGACUUUAGUUGCCGGGCCCUUGUGGCUUUAGGAAAACCGUGCCAUAAUGUUUUCGUUAACAACACUUUUACUUAUGAGCACACCGGAAACAGAACAGCCAUUCAAGUUAGAGCUGACCGAGUAUUUAAUCAUUGUAUAAUUGUAACAUCCGUCCCACCUCAUUCUUCGCUAUCUGAAGCAGCGAAUUGAACUUCUAUAGGGCUAAGAAAUUUGUGGGGUAUUUCCUACGUCAAAAUAAAAUUUCGAUGUAUUUGCUUUGAUGCCUUGUUACAACCUCACUUUAUCGCUUUGAGUUGUAAACCCUUAUCUAAAUGAUAGAGGAAUGAACAAUAGUAAUAAAACAACUACCACGUCAACUUAAAAAACUUCGCGAAACAUUGUAAGUAAUAGAGAUUAGUUUUACAUUUGUUCGGCCUUUACCCGUGCAUUACGUUCGGUUACUGCAGCUACACUGCAUAUUGAUGUGUAAUGUGACAUCCCACAUCGCCCAAGGGAGUGGAUCCUGUAAGUCGUAUAUGCAUAUUCCCAUCGUUACCUAGCACGAGGCCUUUUGGGAGCUCACUGG
RNAcentral lists this long non-coding RNA (5439 nucleotides) under Malus domestica (apple). The record is from RNAcentral. Lineage: Eukaryota; Viridiplantae; Streptophyta; Magnoliopsida; Rosales; Rosaceae.